Molecule: long non-coding RNA, 1163 nt
Filed under: Macaca fascicularis (crab-eating macaque)
Lineage: Eukaryota; Metazoa; Chordata; Mammalia; Primates; Cercopithecidae
Description: lncRNA (ENSMFAG00000056348.1)
Source: RNAcentral
ACGCGAGAGACCCGCCCCGCGAGCCACUGUCACGAGAACAGCACGGUAGAGACUCGCCCCGUGAUCUACUGUCAUGGGAACAGCACGGGAGAGACGCGCCCCGUGAGCCACUCUCAGGAGAACAGCACGGGAGAGACGCGCCCCGUGAGCCACCCUCACGAGAACAGCACGGGAGAGACGCGCCCCGUGAGCCACCCUCACGAGAACAGCACGGGAAAGACCCGCCGCCAUGACUCAGUCACCUCCCACCGGGUCCCUCCCCCGACACAUGGGAAUUCGAGAUGAGGUUUGGGGGACGCCCAAACCACAUCAGUUUGGCGAUAGGUACUGGUCAGAGCCGGAGACCAGGAUGACCCUGCGCCCUCCGCUGAGGUGUAGAGUGACCAGCGAGGGGAACUCCAGGGUAAAACAGAGUGGCAACCCCUAAGGACCUGGGGGACACACAGCACAAAGAUCCUUUAAUGAAGCAUUUUCAGAGUUUAGGAUAUUUCCAACAAAAUAUUUUCCCCAAAAGAUGUCUUUAAUAAUACUAGAUGCGUUGAUUUUAAGAGGGUCCUAAAGAGACACGUUUGAGUCACCGGUCUCUCUCCCGUGUACUGGUAUUUUCAAUACAUAAUGUCUGGAGCAGAGCAUGGAAAUGGCCUGAAAAUAGCCUCUCCUUUGCAUGCAGGAACACACAGAUGAGAGGAUGUGUCUUCAGGAGCAAGGGAUUUUGAAACAUAUUAAGAAAUCAGAAAUAAUCGACUUCAAAGUGCCACACACCUUGAUGACGUGCACAUCAGUGGGCAUUGAUUUUGUGACACUGCCAAGUACACAGCUCCUGCACCGGGAGACAGUGGAGCCAAAAACCUUAACUCAAACUUGAGGUCAAAGUCUAUGCUCCAGUUCAACUGACGAACAUUGGCAGCAGAAUCAGCUUGAACAGAUCUGGGGGAUCCCAGCCAAAGCCCCCACGCCUGAGUGUUCGGUGGCUCGCACAGAGAGAGCACACAGCGUUCACGGCUUCAGAGCCGCCUGCACGUUUGCGGAGAACAUCUGUGGGCUACACAGCCUGGGACUCCUCCUUCCUUUUUCUUUCUAGGGAUAGUCCCUGCCCGCUUCUUUUGAGGCCCUGCUCCUUCUCAGUAACUUGGAAUUGGUGUUGGCACCAAGGCUAGCAGGUG